Molecule: ribosomal RNA, 438 nt
Filed under: Ceratobasidium sp.
Lineage: Eukaryota; Fungi; Basidiomycota; Agaricomycetes; Cantharellales; Ceratobasidiaceae
Description: eukaryotic LSU rRNA
Rfam family: 5.8S ribosomal RNA (bases 18-171)
Source: RNAcentral
UAACGCAUCAUUAAACUAAGUUUCAACAACGGAUCUCUUGGCUCUCGCAUCGAUGAAGAACGCAGCGAAAUGCGAUAAGUAAUGUGAAUUGCAGAAUUCAGUGAAUCAUCGAAUCUUUGAACGCACCUUGCGCUCCUUGGUAUUCCUUGGAGCAUGCCUGUUUGAGUAUCAUGAAAUUCUCAAAGUAAACCUUUUGUUAAUUCAAUUGGCCUUGCUUUGGAUUUGGAGGUCUUGCAGAUGUCACAGUCUGCUCCUCUUAAAUAAAUUAGCUGGAUCUCAGUAUACACUUGGUUCCACUCGGCGUGAUAAGUAUCACUCGCUGAGGACACUGUAAAAGGUGGCCAGGCAAUGCAAAUGAACCGCUUCUAAUAGUCCAUUCACUUGGACAAUUACAUUUAUGAUCUGAUCUCAAAUCAGGUAGGACUACCCGCUGAACUU